This 518-nucleotide ribosomal RNA is filed under the name uncultured bacterium. RNAcentral's name for it is "partial 16S ribosomal RNA". It matches the Rfam family "Bacterial small subunit ribosomal RNA", at positions 29 to 523 of the family's 1533-position model. The record is from RNAcentral.
AACGAACGCUGGCGGCGUGCCUAACACAUGCAAGUCGAACGGGAUGAGGGGGCUUGCUCCUUCAUUUAGUGGCGCUCGGGUGAGUAACGCGUAGAUAAUCUGCCUGACGAUCCGGGAUAACACUUCGAAAGGGGUGCUAAUACCGGAUAAGCCCACGGGGACUUUGGUCUUUGCGGGAAAAGGGGGGGACCUUUUGGCCUUCUGUCGUCAGAUGAGUCUGCGUACCAUUAGCUAGUUGGUAGGGUAAAGGCCUACCAAGGCGACGAUGGUUAGCUGUGCUGAGAUGAUGAGCAGCCAAACUGGAACUGAGACACGGUCCAGACUCCUUCGGGAGGCAGCAGUGGGGAAUUUUGCGCAAUGGGCGAAAGCUUGACGCAGCAACGCCGCGUGAGUGAUGAAGGCUUUCUGGUCGUAAAGCUCUGUCGAGGGGAAAGAAGUGUAUUGUGGUUAAUACCCAUGAUACUUGACGGUACCCCUAAAGGAAGCACCGGCUAACUCCGUGCCAGCAGCCGCCGUAA